This 445-nucleotide ribosomal RNA is filed under the name uncultured bacterium. RNAcentral's name for it is "SSU rRNA". It matches the Rfam family "Bacterial small subunit ribosomal RNA", at positions 26 to 518 of the family's 1533-position model. The record is from RNAcentral.
AGAGCGAACGCUGGCGGCAGGCCUAACACAUGCAAGUCGAGCGCCCCGCAAGGGGAGCGGCAGACGGGAGAGUAACACGUGGGAACGUACCCUUCAGUUCGGAACAACCCAGGGAAACUUGGGCUAAUACCGAAUACGUCCGUAAGGAGAAAGAUUUAUCGCUGAAGGAUCGGCCCGCGUCUGAUUAGCUAGUUGGUGAGGUAACGGCUCACCAAGGCUACGAUCAGUAGCUGGUCUGAGAGGAUGAUCAGCCUCACUGGGACUGAGACACGGCCCAGACUCCUACGGGAGGCAGCAGUGGGGAAUAUUGGACAAUGGCGCAAGCCUGAUCCAGCCAUGCCGCGUGGAUGAUGAAGGCCUUAGGGUUGUAAAAGUCCUUUCGACGGGGAAGAUAAAUGACGGUACCCGUAGAAGAAGCCCGGCUAAACUUCGUGCCAGCAGCCGC